RNAcentral lists this long non-coding RNA (360 nucleotides) under Setaria viridis. RNAcentral describes it as "long non-coding RNA (SVIR_LNC004520)". Lineage: Eukaryota; Viridiplantae; Streptophyta; Magnoliopsida; Poales; Poaceae. The record is from RNAcentral.
CAGUAUUAUCCUUUAUCGAGUAGGUGCAUAACCCUUCUUUCCCAAUUUAGUCAGCACUUGGAUGGCUCUCAACAUCUUCCACUUUAUUCUUGUUAACUGAUAGUGAGAGUAGAGUGAUCGAUGGGGUCCUGCAAGAUCCGUGUCCUGGUCGGCUGGUCUACGCACAUCCUCGGGUGAGGCGAAGCUCUGUCCUGGGGGUCCCGUUAUGUCCGAUCCUUAGCGCCCGGGGUCGGGCGAAGUGUAGCCCUGCUGCGAGGGGUCGGGCGCAUCCGACCCUGUGACCCGGGGUCAGGCCAAGUUUGAUAGAUCCAAGGAGUUGAAAACUCCUGAGCGGCUACAACACAAAUUUUCACACAACUU